RNAcentral lists this long non-coding RNA (427 nucleotides) under Chinchilla lanigera (long-tailed chinchilla). Its description in RNAcentral is "lncRNA (ENSCLAG00000025121.1)". Lineage: Eukaryota; Metazoa; Chordata; Mammalia; Rodentia; Chinchillidae. The record is from RNAcentral.
UGUGGUGGCAACCAACAUGGUGAUCUACAGAUGAGGCAAAUGUUCCUUGAGGGAGUUGAUGAUCCGCCUAGAUGCACCCCAACCUGGGGCUGCCUGUUCUGAAAGACUUCAUCCAUUGCCUCCAGGCUCAGUGAGCUGUGGAGCUACUUCCUCUUGGAACUGGCUGGGCAGCCUUGGAAAGAGCACAGAGAGAAAAGGCUCAGCCUGCCUGUGAUGGAUGGAAUUAAUCUACCAAGCUGGAGAAACUAAAUAAUUAAAUUCCUAAUCACCGUCUAAGCCUGUGAGGCCAAUAUAACUGAGGGAGGGAGAGGGCUCUGAGGCCCAGAUCAAUAACCUAGAGAGGACGAAGGGCGUGAGAAGAGAGGCAUAGGCAGACCCUUUAGACCGGGGAGUAACACCAGGAAGCAGCCAGACAGACGUGCUUCAC